CCUACGGGAGGCAGCAGUGAGGAAUAUUGGACAAUGGUCGGAAGACUGAUCCAGCCAUGCCGCGUGCAGGAUGAAGGUCCUAUGGAUUGUAAACUGCUUUUGUAAGGGAAGAAUAAGGAGUACGUGUACUUUGAUGACGGUACCUUACGAAUAAGCAUCGGCUAACUCCGUGCCAGCAGCCGCGGUAAUACGGAGGAUGCGAGCGUUAUCCGGAAUCAUUGGGUUUAAAGGGUCCGUAGGCGGGCUGAUAAGUCAGAGGUGAAAGCGCUUAGCUCAACUAAGCAACUGCCUUUGAAACUGUCAGUCUUGAAUGAUUGUGAAGUAGUUGGAAUGUGUAGUGUAGCGGUGAAAUGCUUAGAUAUUACACAGAACACCGAUAGCGAAGGCAUAUUACUAACAAUUGAUUGACGCUGAUGGACGAAAGCGUGGGGAGCGAACAGGAUUAGAUACCCUGGUAGUCCACGCUGUAAACGAUGGAUACUAGCUGUUUGGAGCAAUCUGAGUGGCUAAGCGAAAGUGAUAAGUAUCCCACCUAGGGAGUACGCACGCAAGUGUGAAACUCAAAGGAAUUGACGG
RNAcentral lists this ribosomal RNA (576 nucleotides) under uncultured bacterium. Its description in RNAcentral is "bacterial SSU rRNA". It matches the Rfam family "Bacterial small subunit ribosomal RNA", at positions 338 to 916 of the family's 1533-position model. The record is from RNAcentral.